GGAGGUCACCUCAGUGGCAGGUGCUCAAGUUGGCCUCUGGGCGGGAGUUCCUGGGCAGCCUCCCUGGGGACAGUGCAGGGGUGGGGCUCUUGACCCCCAAGGACCUGCGGUCUGGGUCGCCUUCCUGAGCUGUCUGUCCAGCAUGCCUCACUAACCCCAGCUGACCUCUGCCAGACAGUGUCCACCCAGGGCCUCACAGGAGUCCCACCAUGGUCCUGGGAGGCGAUACAACUACAGCCCCAUUUUUCAGAUGGGGAAACCGAGGCACAGAGAAGUUUAGGAAGUCACCUGGGCACAGCUGGCAGGGUAUGAACCAGGCGCCUGCCUGGCGCUGGCCUCCCUGCCCCUGCCACUGGGGCAGCGCCCCUGGCGGAGUAGAGGGAGUGUCCCUGGGCUCGAAGUUCGGAUGGGCUCAGCCAGGACUCACAAAGGGUGGUCCGGCUAUUCCCACCACCAGGUGCCCCCUAUCCAUCCAUCCACCUCUCCAAUCAGUCAGAGGCAUGCAUGGCCCGAACCUCACCCCCACCACAAAGGGGGUCCUCGGCCGUCUGGAAUUGGAGCUGAAGCCCUGGGGAAGGCGCCUGGGGCCUCCCUCGGCCAAGGGUCAGGAUGGAGGAAGUGUGGUGGGCAGGGGUGUUUGGAGGCAACACAGCCUCCGUUACAGAACCGUGGACCCUGAGCCUCCCUCUGGCGGGGCAGGGAAGGACAGGAGCCCAAGACCCCCGGCAUCCUGCCCCCAGGGCCCCAUCAGUUCCAGGAGGUCCCUAACUCAAGAGCACCCAUCCCUGCUGAGGAGCAUGGUGUGGGGAGCUGGGCGGGAGGGGCACCCCCAGGCCAAAGCAGACUCUAAUCUUGUGUGGGGGAGGGGCUCUGGGCCUUGGACGGGCUUGCCACCCAAGUUGGGGUGAAAUCAGACCCUUGAAGGCACAAGGUGAGGAAGAGGACGGGUGGGAGGCGGGAGGUGGAAGGUGAAGCCAGACCCCCCCACACACCCUGGGGCAUUGCUGAUAAGGCUCCCUCUGGGCUCAAAGACUGGCUGCAGGGGUACCGGGACUGCAGAGAUUCCUCCUGCAGAGGCUGGACUACCACGUGUCUGGACCGCUCUGGGGGCCCUGACCAGGGAGGCAGGCCUGGGUCUGGUCGCCACCUACUCCUGCAUCAGAAGCAAGCUGUGCAUGUCACCAAUGUGGGAGCCCCCCGGGUAGGACUGGAGCGGGGUGGUGCCCCAGGACCUGUCCAGUCCUCCACUAGAACUCGCAGCACCUCCGUGCUGAACUCAAGGUGCCCGUCGAGGGGAAGUGGGGACUGGAGAUUUACCCCUUCCAUCCUCCUGGCUGGACACCCGCAUGCAGUGAGCCACCUGCAGACUGGAACACUUCAGCCCUGCACUCAAGAGUCAGCAGGUGCGCAGUGACCGAAAGCAGAAACAACCCCGUGCCCAUCAACAGAUGAAGGACACCAAGAUUCAGUCCAUCCGCACGAGGAAGUGCUAUUCAACCCUAAAGAAGAAUGAAGGGCCGGCUCAGGCUGCCUCGUGGACGAACCUUGAAAACACGAUGCUGAGCAAAGGAAGCCAGACACCAUAUUGGUCAAUUCCAUUUAUAUGAAAUUCCAGAACAGGCCAAAGCAGUGAAAAAAAAACAACCCGAAACCCUCAUGUCCAGUGAGUGUUGGAGCUGAGUGGGAAGCCGAGUCAGGCCGGCCCGGGCCAUCACCCUCCACCCAGUGCACCCCAGAACAGCGGCUUGACGCAGAGGGGCCCAGUUCUCAGGCAGGACACCUCCUGUGUGUGGCUAGGGGUCCCACAACCCCGGAGGCUGUGUGCUGUGAGCAGGGGGUGCAGCAGGUUACUUUGCCUCCCAAGUGGGUACCCCGGUGGGGGCAAGAUGCACUUCUGAACUAAUUGAGCUCUUGUCUGAUGGGAGGUCUGCCCCUGCCAGAGCUUCAAGGUCAAAAGAAAGGGCUGAAGGAGGCGUGUGCUGCAGCCCAGAUCGGGCCCGAGGCGUGCUCUGGUCCCUGAAGGGUCUGCCCGACUCCCUUCCAGACCAAGGGAAGCUUCUGGAAACCUGGGAGGCAGGCAAGGCAGCAGGGGAGGGAAGAGCCUCACCCCAGCCCAUGUGUCCCUGUGAAGCUUAGCCCCCCAGAUUGUGAGAGGAAGGGGCCCCCAUCCUCUCAAGCCCCUCAACCACUGGGGAGGUGAGUGUCUUGUCCCCUUACAGAGAGGUCUAAGCCACCAAGGAGAAGCAAAGACCCAACCCAGGGCUCUGAGUCCAGGGCUUACAGGCACCAUGACGAGGACCAGGGACACCUGGGCAUAUGGGAGGGAGGGAGGGGGAAGAAGGAAGGGAGGCAGGGUCAGUGGGCACUUUGGGCAGUGGUCAGGGGUCGGGAAAGGCUUCCUGCUGAGGUGUCCCAGAGCAGCUGCGAGAGCAGAGGCAGAGUCUGAGCCAAAGAUGGGCCCAGAACCUCAGCCCCAAUGGGGCGCGGAUACUCCUGAGGCCUCGAGGGCCCAGCCUGUGACACCCCUCCGUCCCUCCGUCCCUCCCCCCCACCAGGCCUCUCUGCGGCUCUGGGCCUGGGCCACCUCCAGCCCUGGGUGGAAGGAGAGGCCGCCCCAGGAGAGACAGCUGUACAUCAGUCCUGCACGUUGGUUCCUGACGAGGCUCUGAGUCAUAUGCUCCCUGUGUUCGUCCGCAGAGUGGAGCAGAUGGUGGUGCAGUAACACUUUAAAUUAAGUAUUCCAAAAGCACAUUAAAUCUAGAUUGAAUAAGACAGUUAUUGUAUGGAAAUUGAAGGCCCAUUGGUUCUUCUCUGAGUAUCGAGGUCCAGCAGCUCCUCAUCCAGUCUCUCCCCGCCUUGAUUUCGAGGGUGGCUCAUGAGUGUGCCUGGGCAGCGGGGCAGGGCUUUCCCAUAUCAGCCCCCCAGGGACCCCCGCCUCGCACGGACCUCAGUUUCUGAACCCCUGUCCCCCUGGCCUUGCUCCGGAGCUGACCGCAGUUCCCUUGCUGGAGGCUAACGAGGGCUGGGUACCACCCUCAGGCUGGCUUGGAGGGCUCUCAUGGAAUCCUCCAGAAGCUGGAGGCUGAGAGGGGAAGGGACUUGUUCCAGGACUCUCUGCGGGGGCGGGGGGAGGUGGGGGGAGGGGCAGGGCGGGAGGGGCACACAGGGGUCUGGGAGGGGUCCUGCCGGAGGUGGCCAGGUGGACACGGAGCCUGGUGAACCAAGCUUUGCUGAGCAAGGAUGGUGGGGGGAACAGCUCACCCUCAGUACCAUCCUCCCCAAGCCCUGCCCUUCUCCUCCCCCACCAUCCUAUCCCCCCAGUGCGAGAGGGAGCGCCCCUGGGAAGGGGCGAUUCCGGGAGCACUGCCCCCCCCAGGCCUCCUCAGACCAGGGGCUGGAAGCUGCUAAGUGCCUGAUGAGUUCUUGUGGCCACAGUAAAUCUGGUCACUUCGUCCCUGCGGAGAGGCCCCCGGCCUCCAGGCGGAGGAAACCGGCUCCCCGACCUCAAGCAGGUGAACGCCGGCCCAUGGCGGCAGUUCCUGUAACCGGCAGCCGUGCUAUUAAUAAUCAAUCCAUUGGCCCUAAAAGCUUCAGGGGGAGCAGAGAGGCCUCUGUGGGGGCCUGGCAGGGAGGGGGUCUGCACAUGGCCCAGAGCCUGGGCAGGAGGCUGGGAGCACGGGGACCUACCUGGAGUCACAGCUGGCCCACCAGGUCUGCUGAGAGACACCUGGAACCCGGCCUCUGUCCCCAGAGUUAGGUCCAGGACCCGCGAUCAGGGGCGGGAUGUGGGCUGGGGGCCUGCCCUCAGCCAGGCGGUCACCGCUGGCUAGGCGGCCAGAUUCAUCAACUGAAGAUACACAGUGAAAGUGAAGAUAGUCAGUCACUCGUGUCUGACUCUUUGCAACCCCAUGGACUGUAGCUCACUAGACUCCUCUGUCCAUGGCAUUCUCCACUCCAGGAAUACUGGCGUGGGUCCCUAUUUCCUCCUCCAGGGGAUCUUCCUGACCCAGGGAUCAGACCCAGGUCUCCCACAUUGCAGGUGGAUUCCUUACCAUCUGACCACCAGGGACACCCAUCCUUCUUCAGACCAAAUUUCACAUUCAUAAGGAAUAACUUUUUAGUUCAAGGACUUCCCAUGCAGUCUGGGGACAUAUCAUUGUUUGAAAUUCAGAUUCAGCUGGGUCUUCUGUAUUUUAUCUGGCAAGCCCCUGCCCUUGCGGCUCCUCCUUCCCUGGAACCCGGGCUCUGUACGGCUCUGGGGCUCUCUCUGUGCUCUGGCCUCCCUGCCUCCCCUCCACCCCUGCCCCAGGGCCUCCUUAGCGUCUCUUCUUCCUGACGGCUCUCGCAUGGUCUCUGUGGACUUGUGCUUUGGGUCCCUGUCUUCCC
This is a long non-coding RNA of Bos taurus (domestic cattle), 4386 nucleotides long. Lineage: Eukaryota; Metazoa; Chordata; Mammalia; Artiodactyla; Bovidae. The record is from Ensembl.